UACGUAGGGUGCAAGCGUUAAUCGGAAUUACUGGGCGUAAAGCGUGCGCAGGCGGUUGUGCAAGACAGAUGUGAAAUCCCCGGGCUCAACCUGGGAAUGGCAUUUGUGACUGCACGGCUAGAGUGUGUCAGAGGGGGGUAGAAUUCCACGUGUGAGCAGUGAAAUGCGUAGAUAUGUGGAGGAAUACCGAUGGCGAAGGCAGCCCCCUGGGAUAACACUGACGCCUCAUGCACGAAAGCGUGGGGAGCAAACAGG
This 255-nucleotide ribosomal RNA is filed under the name uncultured bacterium. Its description in RNAcentral is "partial 16S ribosomal RNA". It matches the Rfam family "Bacterial small subunit ribosomal RNA", at positions 524 to 776 of the family's 1533-position model. The record is from RNAcentral.